AUUAAACGCUGGCGGCAUGCCUUACACAUGCAAGUCGAACGGCAGCACGGGGGCAACCCUGGUGGCGAGUGGCGAACGGGUGAGUAGAGCAUCGGAACGUGCCCUGGAAUGGGGGAUAACGUAGCGAAAGUUACGCUAAUACCGCAUAUUCUGUGAGCAGGAAAGCAGGGGAUCGCAAGACCUUGCGUUCUGGGAGCGGCCGAUGUCGGAUUAGCUAGUUGGUGGGUAAAGGCCUACCAAGGCGACGAUCCGUAGCGGGUCUGAGAGGAUGAUCCGCCACACUGGGACUGAGACACGGCCCAGACUCCUACGGGAGGCAGCAGUGGGGAAUUUUGGACAAUGGGCGCAAGCCUGAUCCAGCCAUGCCGCGUGAGUGAAGAAGGCCU
This 386-nucleotide ribosomal RNA is filed under the name uncultured bacterium. RNAcentral describes it as "bacterial SSU rRNA". It matches the Rfam family "Bacterial small subunit ribosomal RNA", at positions 29 to 417 of the family's 1533-position model. The record is from RNAcentral.